UACGUAGGGGGCUAGCGUUGUCCGGAAUCAUUGGGCGUAAAGCGCGUGUAGGCGGUUCGGUAAGUCCGCUGUGAAAGUCGGGGGCUCAACCCUCGGAAGCCGGUGGAUACUGUCGGGCUAGAGUACGGAAGAGGCGAGUGGAAUUCCUGGUGUAGCGGUGAAAUGCGCAGAUAUCAGGAGGAACACCGGUGGCGAAGGCGGAUCUCUGGGCCUUACCUGACGCUGAGGCGCGAAAGCUAGGGGAGCGAACAGG
This 253-nucleotide ribosomal RNA is filed under the name uncultured bacterium. RNAcentral's name for it is "partial 16S ribosomal RNA". It matches the Rfam family "Bacterial small subunit ribosomal RNA", at positions 524 to 776 of the family's 1533-position model. The record is from RNAcentral.